Grus americana (Whooping crane) is the source of this 1485-nucleotide long non-coding RNA. RefSeq lists it as uncharacterized. The record is from RefSeq and is a predicted model, not a curated record. NCBI's taxonomy places the organism in Eukaryota, Metazoa, Chordata, Aves, Gruiformes, Gruidae. The transcript is spliced from 5 exons.
GCGGCUGGCAGGGAGCUGCGGUGCCGCAGUGGGAGGGGGACUGCGAAGAUGAAGCAUCCAGAGUGAAUUGCAAAACAUCCCAAAACAGAGGUGAUUUCCAUUGGCCUAUCAAAACAAAAAGUCAUCCUAAUAGCCCUCAGAACUGGCCUCAACCGGCAAAGUGAACGAAGCACAACCAUGCUCAAACUGUGACAACUUUGGGAACAACUUGCUAUGUUAAGAUAGCCACAUAUCUUAAAGAGGUGCCUGUUUUCUUCACCCUACAGGGAUCCCUGCUUGCCGCCCAGCUCAGAUGAGGAAGGAUGCCCUGCAGCUGUCUGCACAGGAUCCCUGAUAACAACAGCUGAGGUGAACGUGGCAAGGCAAGCCUGGGAAGAUAGACUGAAAUGUACUGUGGAAGAAGUUUAAAAUUAUCCAGACAGUGAUUUAUCACAUUCAGUCAGAGACCGUCUCUUUUAGCACUUCGGGCUCCCAAACAUGAGAAAGAUGGACAACCAUAGUGUAAUGUAAGUGUUCAUAUUGGAAUGGACAGUUGGAAUUCAUCUAGUCCAACCUCCUUCUCAAAGCAAGGGUAAGUUCAAAGACUGGGCUGACAUUCAAGAAUGAGAGCUUCUCUGAAUCGCUCAAAUGAAGGAAAAUGGAGCCAGAAUGAUAAGCAAUAAUCAUACAGAAUGAGGAAGGACCUGGGUAAAACAUGGAAAAAGCUAGUGAAGAAGGGCAUAAAUUGGAUGGAGAUGACUAGCUUUGACUCUACCACAUUUGUUGGUUCUCACUGGCCACAGAUCAAUGCCCUGUGGACUUUUUGUUUUCCCAGACUUCUCUCUGGAUUGCUCUAGGACCUCCCAUUGAUGUAAUCAUCCUUCAUUUUGGUUACACAAGUUGAAUUACUCUGCCAGAAUCUUUCCAUCUUCUUUUAGUAAUUCCUUAUAUUUAUUCCUGAGAACAUUACAUGUUAAAUAGCAUGAGGCUUAAGAGCUAUGCAAAAGAGCAGCUGGGUCUUCUGAUACAUUAUCCCACUAGGAUCAUAUUUACAAAAUAAAAAGGAACAUGUUUCUCCACUGGUCAUUCCUUUUUUUCCGUAAGAAACAGAUUAAGGUGUCUUCAGCGCUACUUCAGAGAUAUGAUAGUGUUUAUACUGCAGUAGAGAGGCACUGCUUGGCCCCAGAAGCCUAAAAUAAUAACAUUUAUUGAGACUAAGUAGUUUAAAAUACAGAAAUUAUUUCACAUGUAAAGUAAGGAAAAUAUGUUGACUUAGUAUUGACAAAUGUAUUUAGUUAAGCUAUUAAAAUAUAUGCAGAUAAUACUGCAGUAUUUCCUGUAAUCAGCAAACCUUUUCUAUGAUGCUAACUAAUCCCUGAGGAAUUUUUUAAUGAAUUUUUUUAUUCUUUAAGAAAAAAAUGUAUUAUUAUUAUUAUUGCUAUCAUCAUCUUCAUUUAUCCUUUUAAAAUAUUAGCAAACUUUUUGCUAGGGAAAAAUACAACUCAU